UACCAGCUCUCCGAGUGGUGUGGAUGUUUAUUGGGCCUAAAGCAUCCGUAGCUGGCUGGGCAAGUCCCCUGUUAAAUCCACCGAUUUAAUCGUUGGUGUGCGGGGGAUACUGUUCGACUAGGGGACGGGAGAGGCCGACGGUAUUUUCGGGGUAGGGGUGAAAUCCUAUAAUCCCGGGAAGACCACCAGUGGCGAAGGCUGUCGGCUAGAACGCGCCCGACGGUGAGGGGAUGAAAGCUGGGGGAGCUAACCGGAUUAGAUACCCGGGUAGUCCCAGCUGUAAACGAUGCAGGCUAGGUGUUUGGGACGGCCACGUGCCGCUCUAGUGCCGCAGGGAAGUCGCUAAGCCUGCCGCCUGGGGAGUACGGCCGCAAGGGCUGAAACUUAAAGGAAUUGGGCGGGGGGAGCACCACGAAGGGGUGAAGCUUGCGGUUU
This 435-nucleotide ribosomal RNA is filed under the name uncultured archaeon. RNAcentral's name for it is "bacterial SSU rRNA". It matches the Rfam family "Archaeal small subunit ribosomal RNA", at positions 474 to 903 of the family's 1478-position model. The record is from RNAcentral.